RNAcentral lists this ribosomal RNA (253 nucleotides) under uncultured Sphingomonas sp. RNAcentral describes it as "partial 16S ribosomal RNA". It matches the Rfam family "Bacterial small subunit ribosomal RNA", at positions 524 to 776 of the family's 1533-position model. The record is from RNAcentral. Lineage: Bacteria; Pseudomonadati; Pseudomonadota; Alphaproteobacteria; Sphingomonadales; Sphingomonadaceae.
UACGAGGGGAGCUAGCGUUAUUCGGAAUUACUGGGCGUAAAGCGCACGUAGGCGGCUUUGUAAGUUAGAGGUGAAAGCCCGGGGCUCAACUCCGGAAUUGCCUUUAAGACUGCAUCGCUUGAAUCCAGGAGAGGUGAGUGGAAUUCCGAGUGUAGAGGUGAAAUUCGUAGAUAUUCGGAAGAACACCAGUGGCGAAGGCGGCUCACUGGACUGGUAUUGAUGCUGAGGUGCGAAAGCGUGGGUAGCAAACAGG